GGAUUUUUUUUUUUCCUUUCCUCUGAAGGACAGCCUCCUAGCCUGGGAGUCCACUGGGAGCUCCAACCCUUGUCUUAUCUGGAUCUGGGAUGUUGUUGUUAGCUUAUUGUUUGGACAUCGGAGAAAGGAGGACAAGCCAAAACAAAAAGAGUCCAUUAAGCUCUCUCCAGAGGUCCCUAUUUAGACAAAGAGGAAAAAUCCCAAACCUGCCAUUUCAAGUGGCAGUUCUAGAAAGUCUCUCCAGUGUCUCCCCCAAGAGGAGCAGUGACAGUGCUGGAGCUGCCAAAACACUCAGCCGCCUGAUAGGGAAGCAACAGGAAGGGAGGAGUCCCCACAAAGUCAUAGCACUGUUCUGUGGUUCUGCUUUAAAACCCAAGUCCAACCUGAAUGUGGAAUGAACUUCAUCAAAAUCAAGCAAAUGACUGGCACCCCUACACUGGAAGUGCCUUUGGCCCCAACUACUGACCUAUGGCUGGCUACCCCUCCAGCAGCCUCUUACAGAUGCAAACACUGAUUCGCUGAGUAUGGAGGAAGAGCAUCCUGGGAGAAGAUGUGAAAGGAGAAACCGAGGAGCUGGACUUUCUUGGAAAUGAGCCAUCUCACAAAAUCCCCAUGCACAUCCUACACUGGGUAACUAAUCCAAUGUACUAUCCAGGCCAGGUUUAUUUUUGUUUUUUGCUUUUCUUCCCUUAAAAAUGGAAGGAAUUGAAAUGAAGCACUAAGCUCUGUCCACAUAAUUUGACCACAACGUACUUGUUCAUGAGUUUUAGGAAAUCGACAGUUGGAACAAACAGUUCAAUUUCAAUAUUUGCAAAAUGACCUUGAAAACACCCCACAUGGUCAGGUUCUCCACUCUGUGGCUGUUGGAAAGAGAAAGCUCGGGUGGGUAAGGCCUGCGUGCACACGCUCACCCAUGCCACCACCGGCCAGUGCAACCAAGGGGCCGCAGGUGUUGCCCUUGAACCUUCCCUGUACUUUGUGAUUGGAGACAAAUAAAUUAUCUUCAAAGAAAAAAAAUAACUUGA
Talpa occidentalis (Iberian mole) is the source of this 1025-nucleotide long non-coding RNA. RefSeq lists it as uncharacterized. The transcript has 4 exons. Lineage: Eukaryota; Metazoa; Chordata; Mammalia; Eulipotyphla; Talpidae. The record is from RefSeq and is a predicted model, not a curated record.